Molecule: ribosomal RNA, 497 nt
Filed under: uncultured bacterium
Lineage: Bacteria
Description: partial 16S ribosomal RNA
Rfam family: Bacterial small subunit ribosomal RNA
Source: RNAcentral
GACGAACGCUGGCGGCGCGCCUAACACAUGCAAGUCGAACGGAGCAUACUUGAAGAAGCCCUCGGGUGGAUUUAGGCAUUGCUUAGUGGCGAACGGGUGAGUAACACGUGAAUAACCUGCCCUAGAGUGGGGGACAACAUUAGGAAACUGAUGCUAAUACCGCAUAAGACCACGGUACCGCAUGGUACAGUGGCCAAAGGAGCAAUUCGCUCUGGGAUGGAUUCGCGUCUGAUUAGCGAGAUGGUGGGGUAAUGGCCUACCAUGGCGACGAUCAGGUGCCGGACUAGGAGGUUGAUAGGCCACAUUGGAACUGCGACACGGCCCAGACUCCGUCGGGAGGCAGCAGUGGGGAAUAUUGCACAAUGGAGGAAACUCUGAUGCAGCGACGCCGCGUGAGGGAAGAAGGUUUUCGGAUUGUAAACCUCUGUCUUCGGGGACGAUAAUGACGGUACCCGAGGAGGAAGCCACGGCUAACUACGUGCCAGCCGCCGCUGUAA